This 118-nucleotide small RNA is filed under the name Salmonella enterica. RNAcentral's name for it is "RtT sRNA". It matches the Rfam family "RtT RNA". Rfam says of the family: This family represents a bacterial cis-regulatory element known as RtT RNA. The exact function of RtT is unknown although it is thought that it may be involved in changing the cellular response in relation to amino acid starvation. The record is from RNAcentral. Lineage: Bacteria; Pseudomonadati; Pseudomonadota; Gammaproteobacteria; Enterobacterales; Enterobacteriaceae.
GUAUCUGAAGUCUGACGAGGAUGAGAACCUCCGGGGGCAAGAGGUUCGACCCGAGCGAAGCGAGAGAACGUUGCGUCAGCAACGGCCCGCAGGGCGAGCCAUCCUCUAUCACCGGCAG